Gracilinanus agilis (Agile Gracile Mouse Opossum) is the source of this 288-nucleotide long non-coding RNA. RefSeq lists it as uncharacterized. The transcript is spliced from 3 exons. The record is from RefSeq and is a predicted model, not a curated record. Lineage: Eukaryota; Metazoa; Chordata; Mammalia; Didelphimorphia; Didelphidae.
CUGAGGGAAGAGGGUUGAGGUCUGGAAAGCCGUCGCUAUGGGUGAAGGCCAGUGCUGGCAGAGGGUCUCAGAAGGGUACCUAAAACUGAACCAAAAAAAUCUCCACAUGCAGACCAAGAGAAGAGUGAAGAGAGACUGUGACCACUUCCUCAUUCCUGGGAAGCCUCUCUUAAUGAUCUAACACUGAAGAACAGCAUUGUGGAGUCAGGAACAAUUUGGACAAUUACAAAAUAAAAUAACCCAAGAAACAACAGUUCAACGGGUCCACAUAAAGUCCAUAUCAAAUGC